UUACAAGAAUUGAUUAAUCAUAUAUGAUUUCGACUCAUACUUAGGUGCAAUGCACCCUUGUAGU
Molecule: transfer RNA, 64 nt
Filed under: Acanthosepion esculentum (golden cuttlefish)
Lineage: Eukaryota; Metazoa; Mollusca; Cephalopoda; Sepiida; Sepiidae
Description: Sepia esculenta (golden cuttlefish) tRNA-Arg
Source: RNAcentral